UUCUCCAAAAUUCAACCUGCUGAAUCUGAACGAAGCCUGGAUCGCGAUCAACACUUGAUCUUUCUCUUUGAUCUUCUUUUUUUUCUCUUCUCUAGAGUUUCUCCUUUCUAUGUGCUACUACCAAAUGCUAGAAACUAGUAAGGAAGAGGCAUCCAAACUCCUCUGGAUGUGAAACUCUUUGGGAUGCGCAUCCCAAGAAAGGGAUGUAUAGAACACCCAAGAGAAGAGAAAGGGAG
RNAcentral lists this long non-coding RNA (236 nucleotides) under Elaeis guineensis (African oil palm). Its description in RNAcentral is "long non-coding RNA (EGUI_LNC037489)". Lineage: Eukaryota; Viridiplantae; Streptophyta; Magnoliopsida; Arecales; Arecaceae. The record is from RNAcentral.